UUUAUUUCUGCCCUUCCCUGUUCUUCCCUCUCUCUCCACUCUGCUCUCCUGCCCUGCCUCUGUUGCUCCACUGUGCCACUCUCUGCAGCAGCUGCAACAAAUCAGCCUCAUCAGGCUCAUCAGCAGAACUCCGGGUGGCAGUGGCUCAGCACACCUGUUCCCCAUCCUCUGCAAUAAAAGCCGGUUCCACAGUCCACACCCUGCCAGAUUGUAGGUUCAGCUUCAUGCUUUCCGCUGGUCGCGCUGCCCGGUUUUGCCCGACCGCUUACUGGACCCUCUGGCCCUCCAGCCUGCUUGGUUCUGCCCAGCCACUUCCCGGACCUUCGGACCCUCCGGCCUGCUUGGUUCUGCCCAGCUUCUCACGGGACCCUUAAACCCCCAUCCCUUCCCUGCCAAAUAAAUUCAGCGUCUGGAUCCCAGAAGAGAUGGAGCCUCAAGGGCCUCCAGGAAAUAAUCUGGAGCUGAAAGAAACAUGAGAGGAGCUGUUGAUGCUGAACGAAUCAGUGGAAGCUGGUCUGCAGCUCCAGAACAUCUGAUCGUCACUCUCCGGCUGUUGGACCGGUCCUCUGAUUCUGGUUCUGAGCAGUCAGAGCGUCCUCCAUCCACCCCCAGCUCCUCCUGUAGAGCUUCAUCCACUAAAGAUGUUUCCUCAGAAACACCAACAUCUUCUACAGCCGACAAGCAUCAGGUUGCAUCUAGAUCUACAGUAGGAUCUACAGGAAGAUCUGCAGGAAGAUCUACGGGAAGAUCUACAAGAAGAUCUACAGGAGGAUCUACAGGAAGAUCUACAGGAAGAUCUACAGGAAGAUCUACAGGAAGAUCUACGGGAAGAUCUACAAGAAGAUCUACAGGAGGAUCUACAGGAAGAUCUACAGGAAGAUCUACAGGAAGAUCUACAGGAGGAUCUACAGGAAGACCUAAAGAAGGAUCUACGGGAGCCAUUUCUGGAGAGGAAUAAAUCAGAUUCUGUUUUAUCUACUGCUGAAGCUUCAGACAAACGUUCAGUGAUGUUUGGGGAAAAACUGUUCAACAUGUUUUAUCUUAUUAUUAUUUGAUUUUUUAUUUUAUUAUUUUUGACCUGUCAGCUCUUUUUAACCAACCAAUGAGACACUCAUCUCCACGGUAACCAGGAAAAAGGAGCAGGAACUUCCAACAUUUAAAGAGAAAGUUGUAUUUGAACCCAAACUGUGAAGUUGUCUCAAACAGAAGCGGAUCUUUUAAUCUGAAACCAACAUGUGAAUAUAUUUAAUUAAAGGAGAUCUUUUCCUGAACAGAACCAAAAACUUCAAUCUGAGAUGUUCCUUUGAUCUUCAUCUGAUCAGAACUCUAGUUCUUCCUCCAAACACCCGACAUGUUCGUAGUCAUGGAUAAAUAUGAUGUUAUUUCUACACAGAAUUAGCUGUUGUCCAAGCUUCUUCUGGUUUUUCUGGCUUUGCUUGAAGAACGUUGGAAAAGUAGAACUUCUGGACAGACCGGACCAAUCAGCUAACCCAUGGAUGUGCUGUUAGAGGGUCAGCCUCAGCAGGAGUCCUGACCUGCAGCCACUUCUGCGUCCACUGUCUGAG
Molecule: long non-coding RNA, 1565 nt
Organism: Amphiprion ocellaris (clown anemonefish)
Lineage: Eukaryota; Metazoa; Chordata; Actinopteri; Pomacentridae
Source: Ensembl